This is a non-coding RNA of Maylandia zebra (zebra mbuna), 1312 nucleotides long. Lineage: Eukaryota; Metazoa; Chordata; Actinopteri; Cichliformes; Cichlidae. The record is from RefSeq and is a predicted model, not a curated record.
AGAGACGCCGCUGCAAACUCCAGAUCCUCAGGACACGACUCCAACAAAUGGUGAGAACACAGUCCAACUCUUCUCUGCAUCAUCCCUGUUUGGGGUUUUGUGCAUUUGUGGUGACCUUCUUGUCUUUUCUACAUCAGCAGCUCGAUCCAGGGUCCCUGUGGUCAUCGCUGUCGUCACCUUAUUAUUAGUUUUGGCUCUCGCUGGUUUUGCUGCAUAUUUCUCCAGACACAUUUUUCACCAGACACUAAAAAAGCAUCCAGAGGAUGAUGAGACAGAAAAACAACCACUACCAGUCUAGCUGCUUGCUCAAAGGAAUAAAUGGACUAGUUCUUCUAUACUGCUUUUCUACGCUGGUUUAGCAAAGAACACACUUUGAACUUUGACCCCAGCUGAAGACUCGAGCCUCGUCCAGUUUAUUUAUCGAGCUCAUUUUCACACAAAGAAAAUGUUGUAAAAGAAAUGAUCAUCAUCACUGUUCUGGACUGAAGUGAAUUAUUCCCAAACAGCAGGACUGGAAGGAUUUCACAGCAUUAAAGGAAAUUUCCAUGAACGUUUGUGACACAGCUCAGGUGGAAAGAUGGAAAUAAACCCUCAUCUGAAAACUGUGUGGGAGACACAGAAGUUACAAAAACAGGUUAUAAGCUGAUUACUUUACUGCACUGUGUUAAUGACCUGCUGUGAAUGAUGUUUAAUGCAGCUGUAAUUUAAACAGAGUCACUUAUUGUGAUGCUGAAAGUGUUUAUUUAUGAAAGCUAGUUUUAUAUGACAGCACUGUGAGCACCUUAUACAAGGUGAUUGAAACUUCAGAUAUUUAUUGGUCUUCAUUUUUAAAGCCACAGUUAAUUUAUUAAAUGUAAUUGAAACUUCCUGCUGGUCAGGACUUGAUGUUCAGACUGUUUCUAGUUAUUUAUUUAAAGAAGCAGUUUGAUCCUGAUGCAGAGCUCAAGCUUAACUUCCUCUUUUUGUCAUUUAAAGCUACAAACUUUGUGCAGACUGACAGAAAUCCUCCUGACUGUAGUUUCUGCUGCAGUUACGGAGCAAAAAUCAGAGGAUGUUUGUGUCCAACUCUUCUUUAUUCCUGCUCUGUAACAUGACAGAGCUCCUUUGGUUCACAGUUAAACAGAUGUGUUUUUUUAUUAUUAUAUUUUAUUUUUUUAUUACCUCAGAUAUUUAUUUAUAAGAAUAUUUAUAUUUAAGAAUUUUGGAUGGAUGUAUUUGUUACUGCAGUGAGUGUAAAGUUACAGUGAUAUAUGUGAAUGUGUGAAAUCGUCUGCAAAUAUGAGUGUGAAAGUAAAAAGUUCAAGCACGUUUA